GAUGAACGCUGGCGGCGUGCUUAACACAUGCAAGUCGAGCGAGAAGUUUUGAAAAGAUUCUUCGGAUGAAAUUUAAAAUGGAAAGCGGCGGACGGGUGAGUAACGCGUAGGCAACCUGCCCCAUACAAAGGGAUAGCAUUUGGAAACGAAUAUUAAUACCUUAUGAAACUUAACUAGUGCAUGCUAGGUAGGUCAAAGAUUUAUCGGUAUGGGAUGGGCCUGCGUCUGAUUAGCUAGUUGGUGAGGUAACGGCUCACCAAGGCGACGAUCAGUAGCCGACCUGAGAGGGUGAACGGCCACAUUGGAACUGAGACACGGUCCAAACUCCUACGGGAGGCAGCAGUGGGGAAGAUUGCACAAUGGGGGAAACCCUGAUGCAGCAACGCCGCGUGAACGAUGAAGGCCUUUGGGUCGUAAAGUUCUGUUCUAGGUGAUGAAAACUGACAGUAACCGAGGAGAAAGCCCCGGCUAACUCCGUG
RNAcentral lists this ribosomal RNA (479 nucleotides) under uncultured bacterium. RNAcentral describes it as "partial 16S ribosomal RNA". It matches the Rfam family "Bacterial small subunit ribosomal RNA", at positions 28 to 507 of the family's 1533-position model. The record is from RNAcentral.